RNAcentral lists this ribosomal RNA (496 nucleotides) under uncultured bacterium. Its description in RNAcentral is "partial 16S ribosomal RNA". It matches the Rfam family "Bacterial small subunit ribosomal RNA", at positions 29 to 507 of the family's 1533-position model. The record is from RNAcentral.
AUGAACGCUGGCGGCGUGCCUCAUACAUGCAAGUCGAGCGAACAGACGAGGAGCUUGCUCCUCUGACGUUAGCGGCGGACGGGUGAGUAACACGUGGAUAACCUACCUAUAAGACUGGGAUAACUUCGGGAAACCGGAGCUAAUACCGGAUAAUAUAUUGAACCGCAUGGUUCAAUAGUGAAAGACGGUUUUGCUGUCACUUAUAGAUGGAUCCGCGCCGCAUUAGCUAGUUGGUAAGGUAACGGCUUACCAAGGCAACGAUGCGUAGCCGACCUGAGAGGGUGAUCGGCCACACUGGAACUGAGACACGGUCCAGACUCCUACGGGAGGCAGCAGUAGGGAAUCUUCCGCAAUGGGCGAAAGCCUGACGGAGCAACGCCGCGUGAGUGAUGAAGUUCUUCGGAUCGUAAAACUCUGUUAUUAGGGAAGAACAAAUGUGUAAGUAACUAUGCACGUCUUGACGGUACCUAAUCAGAAAGCCACGGCUAACUACGUG